This 104-nucleotide small nuclear RNA is filed under the name Myotis davidii. The record is from RNAcentral. Lineage: Eukaryota; Metazoa; Chordata; Mammalia; Chiroptera; Vespertilionidae.
GUGCUCGCUUCCUCAGCACAUAUACUAAAAUUGGAACGAUACAGAGAUUAUCAUGGCCCCUGCGCAAAGAUGACAUGCAAAUUCGUGAAGCGUUCCAUGUUAAA